Long non-coding RNA from Phyllopteryx taeniolatus (common seadragon), 962 nucleotides. RefSeq lists it as uncharacterized. NCBI's taxonomy places the organism in Eukaryota, Metazoa, Chordata, Actinopteri, Syngnathiformes, Syngnathidae. The transcript is spliced from 3 exons. The record is from RefSeq and is a predicted model, not a curated record.
ACUUUUUCACACAGGGCCAUGUAGGGUUGGAUUUUAUUUCUCCCUUAAUAAUUUAAAAACUGCAUUUUGUGUUCACUUGUGCUGUCUUUGACUUAUAUUUAAAUUUGUUUGAUGAUGGGAAACAUUUAAGAGUGACCAACAUGCAAAACAAUAAGAAAUCAGGAAGGGGGCAAACAUUUAAUCACACCACUGUACUUUCCAGCAUCUUUGAACUUUGACUUUAUUACCCCUUCAUCUUGGAAAAAUGGGACUUUAUUAUGGGCAACAACGUGGGGCUGUGGCUUUCCCCUCGGAGGCUGUGUCUGGGCUGGUAGAGGGCGGGCACCGUGGGCUGAGCCUGGGCUUGGCUCUCCUCCGCCAUGGACCGCUGCCACUGACUGCGGGCCUUCUUCAGCCAGCGCCCCCCCAGGCCCCAUUUCUCCAGAGCUCAAAAAGCAGCCCAAGAAUGAGAUGAAGGUCCACUCUUACUGCAGACGACAGACGUCUUUCAGUCGAUCAGCAUUUGAAAAGAGGCGAUCUCUUUCAGGUUAUAAUCCGCUUGGUGCGGUACAACCACCUUCAGCCUCAACGAGGACAAUGUCGCCAUGAAAGAGAAGCGAACAGAGCGGCGCGAGGGUGGACUGGAAGUAAAAGGGAGGCGCCUGUAAAGCGUUUCGUGCGACCUUUACGCUCACUACACAUGUUGGGAACAAUGUAACAGAACUCAUUUGCAGUUUUGCGUCCCAUAAAUCCUGCUGCAUAGAAAGAGCGCUGAGCUGGCAAAAGUGGACGAUAAAGAGUAUUAAUGAUGAGGGUUGUUAAAGGAAGUGUCAAAUUGGCUCCUUCAAGGGACACCAGCUGUUUUGUCAUCUACCUGCUUAAUUUCUUUUAACAUGCCGUAAAAUGUGUGUACGUUUACACAGCCUGUAAAACAACUUUUGUUUUUUUAAACCUUUCGGAAAAACAACCUCUUUUCACAUGAA